RNAcentral lists this RNase P RNA (351 nucleotides) under Lachnospiraceae bacterium. RNAcentral describes it as "RNase P RNA component class A". It matches the Rfam family "Bacterial RNase P class A". From Rfam's summary of the family: Ribonuclease P (RNase P) is a ubiquitous endoribonuclease, found in archaea, bacteria and eukarya as well as chloroplasts and mitochondria. The record is from RNAcentral. Lineage: Bacteria; Bacillati; Bacillota; Clostridia; Lachnospirales; Lachnospiraceae.
CAAGUAAGGUAUGUGAUCGCGGCUGGCAGAACCGAAAGGGGCCAGGUGAGGAAAGUCCGGGCUCCACAGGGCAGGGAUGCCGGAUAACGUCCGGCGGAGGCGACUUCAGGGACAGUGCAACAGAAAUAAACCGCCUGCCAAUGCAGGUAAGGGUGGAAAGGCAGUGUAAGAGACUACCGCCGCUGUGGUAACAGAGCGGGCACAUGUAAACCCCAUCCGGAGCAAGACCGAACAGAAAGCUAUGUGGCUGCCCGUCACGCUUUCAGGUGGGUCGCUUGAGGCUGCUGGCAACAGCAGUCCUGGAUAGAUGAUCACACACGACAUAACCCGGCUUAUCGCUUUGCUUGCUGU